GAUGAACGCUGGCGGCGUGCCUAAUACAUGCAAGUCGAGCGAACAGACGAGGAGCUUGCUCCUCUGACGUUAGCGGCGGACGGGUGAGUAACACGUGGAUAACCUACCUAUAAGACUGGGAUAACUUCGGGAAACCGGAGCUAAUACCGGAUAAUAUAUUGAACCGCAUGGUUCAAUAGUGAAAGACGGUUUUGCUGUCACUUAUAGAUGGAUCCGCGCCGCAUUAGCUAGUUGGUAAGGUAACGGCUUACCAAGGCAACGAUGCGUAGCCGACCUGAGAGGAGUUUGGGCCACAGUGAAACUGGGCCCCGGCCCCGACUCCUGAGGGGGGCAGCAGUGGGGAUUUUUCCCAAAUGGGCAAAAGCCUGGCCGAGCAACGCCGGGGGAGUGAAAAAGGUCUUCGGAUCGUAAAACUCUUUUUUUGGGGAAAAAAAAAUGUGUAAGUAAAUGGGGACUUUUAGGGGGAACCUAAUAAGAAAGCCCCGGCUAAUCGCGG
This 496-nucleotide ribosomal RNA is filed under the name uncultured bacterium. Its description in RNAcentral is "partial 16S ribosomal RNA". It matches the Rfam family "Bacterial small subunit ribosomal RNA", at positions 28 to 506 of the family's 1533-position model. The record is from RNAcentral.